AAGAAAACCCCGAGAUACCCUCGAGCACCCGAAAGGUCGUGAGCUAAUUUUUCCUGCCAUAGAACCACGUCCUACUGUUGCAAUAGUAGAAAAAAAGGAGAAAUUAGAGGUGAAACGCCAAUCGAACCACCUGAUAGCUGGUUUUCGGAGAAAAGAGUAAAAGCUCCCCUACCUAAAGAAUAAAAACCAAUGUCCCACAAACAAAGAUUACUUCACAGGAUAGGAAGAAAGCAGAAGAUAAGUUCUGCUUUCAAAAGGGAAACAACCCCAAGUGUAAGAAAAAUCACCAAAAACAAGGAUACAUAACCAAAGUAGGCCUAAAAGCUGCCAACUAGAAAGAAAGCGUUAAAGCUCACAACCAUCACUCCAACAAUCCUUGACAAAAACUUAAUCUUCACUACAAGUACCCGAAAAAAACAAUGUUAAGAUAAGUAAAAAGAAACCCUCUCUCCCUACAAAGAAAUACUCAACACCAAAGAGAGCAAAACACAAGAAGACUCCAAAUAGUAUUCUACCAACCCAGGCGUAGAGAAAAGAGACGGAAAAACAGAAAAGAAGGAACUCGGCAAACCAGUAAAAGGACUGUUUACCAAAAACAUAGCCCUUUGAAUACCUAAAGGGUCCCGCCUGCCCAGUGGCCAAGGCUAAACGGCCGCGGUAUCUUGACCGUGCAAAGGUAGCAUAAUCAUUUGUCUUUUAAAUGGAGACUUGUAUGAACGGCAAAACCUUUUUCAGCUGUCUCCUUUUCUACCCUUUUAAAUUUCUUUCUGUGUGAAGAAGCACAGAUACACAAGAAAGACGAGAAGACCCUGUCGAGCUUUAGCCACUAAGUGAAUAAUAUUGCCCAUUAAACAUCACCCAAAGGCUUUGGUUGGGGCAACCAAGGAGAAAAAAAAUCCUCCAGAACAAACAGAAGAAAACCCUUCACUGAUAACUUCCUAAAGAACCAAAAAUUGGCAUUCGGAAAAAGUUACCGCAGGGAUAACAGCGUAAUCCUCUCUGAGAGUCCUCAUUGACGAGAGGGUUUGCGACCUCGAUGUUGGAUUGGGGAACCCUUACGGUGCAGAAGCUGUAAAAGGUUAGACUGUUCGUCUAUUAAAACCCU
Molecule: ribosomal RNA, 1105 nt
Filed under: Holothuria atra
Lineage: Eukaryota; Metazoa; Echinodermata; Holothuroidea; Aspidochirotida; Holothuriidae
Description: partial 16S ribosomal RNA
Rfam family: Bacterial large subunit ribosomal RNA
Source: RNAcentral